Molecule: long non-coding RNA, 206 nt
Filed under: Lathyrus oleraceus (garden pea)
Lineage: Eukaryota; Viridiplantae; Streptophyta; Magnoliopsida; Fabales; Fabaceae
Description: Pisum sativum (pea) long non-coding RNA (PSAT_LNC028313)
Source: RNAcentral
CACUGGGGAAAAUAAAUCCCCAUAUACUUGGUUGGAGAUAUUUGUGUUGAUGACCCUUUCUUAGCUGGGGGUUUCUUGAUUUCUGUUUGAUGGUAGAAAUAUUCAUCAGAAGCUUGGCUGGGGAUGGAUGAGAGGAUCAGCCUGUCUGGUGAUGCUGACCUCUUCUGGGAAGUAGCUGGUUUUGCCGGGGAAUAAUGCCAAUUUCU